CAAUAGCGUAUAUUAAAGUUGUUGCAGUUAAAAAGCUCGUAGUUGAAACUCUGGGACACUGAACCUGAUCAAACUUUGUUUCGGUUUAGUGUCUCAUAUUCACAAAGAUGUCUUCGCCCAUUAACUUGUGCCUGGACGGAGUUGUGUCAUUUACUGUGAACAAAUUAGGGUGUUUAAAGCAGGCCUUCGUUUGUAUACAUUAGCAUGGAAUAAUAAGAUAUAACUUUGGUUGUAUUUUGUUGGUGACUACCAAAGUAAUGAUUGACAGAAACUGUUGUGGGUAUUCGUAUGAGCAUGUCAGAGGUGAAAUUCUUGGAUUUUGAUCAGACGAACUACUGCGAAAGCAUUUACCAAGGAUGUUUUCAUUAA
RNAcentral lists this ribosomal RNA (369 nucleotides) under uncultured eukaryote. Its description in RNAcentral is "partial 18S ribosomal RNA". It matches the Rfam family "Eukaryotic small subunit ribosomal RNA", at positions 592 to 976 of the family's 1831-position model. The record is from RNAcentral.